AUUGAACGCUGGCGGCAUGCUUUACACAUGCAAGUCGAACGGCAGCGCGGGCUUCGGCCUGGCGGCGAGUGGCGAACGGGUGAGUAAUACAUCGGAACGUGCCCAGUAGUGGGGGAUAGCUCGGCUAAAGCCGGAUUAAUACCGCAUACGACCUGAGGGUGAAAGCGGGGGAUCUUCGGACCUCGCGCUAUUGGAGCGGCCGAUGGCAGAGUAGCUAGUUGGUGGGGAAAAGACCUACCAAGGCGGCGAUCUGUAGCGGGUCUGAGUGGACGACCAGCACACUGGGACAGAAGAAGCGGCCAAGCCCCCGCGGGGGGGCAGGGGGGGGGAAUUUGGGAAAAGGGGGGAAAGCCUGUACCAGGAGGGCGGGGGGGGUGAUGAAGGCCUUCGGGGUGAAAAGCCCUUUGGGGGGGAAAGAAAAGGACUUGCCAAAAACCACGGUUGAAUGACGGAACCCGCAGAAAAAGCACCGGUUAACUACGG
RNAcentral lists this ribosomal RNA (483 nucleotides) under uncultured bacterium. RNAcentral's name for it is "partial 16S ribosomal RNA". It matches the Rfam family "Bacterial small subunit ribosomal RNA", at positions 29 to 506 of the family's 1533-position model. The record is from RNAcentral.